UUCCGGUUGAUCCUGCCGGAGGUCAUUGCUAUCGGAGUCCGAUUUAGCCAUGCUAGUCGCACGGGUUCAGCCCCGUGGCGAAUAGCUCCGUAACACGUGGCCAAUCUACCCUACAGACAGGCAUAACCUCGGGAAACUGAGGCUAAUUCCUGAUACCACUCCCACGCUGGAACGCCGGGAGUGAGAAACGUUCCGACGCUGUAGGAUGAGGCUGCGGCCGAUUAGGUAGGCGGUGGGGUAACGGCCCACCGUGCCAAUAAUCGGUACGGGUUGUGAGAGCAAGAACCCGGAGACGGAAUCUGAGACAAGAUUCCGGGCCCUACGGGGCGCAGCAGGCGCGAAACCUUUACACUGCACGACAGUGCGAUAGGGGGACUCCGAGUGCGGAGGCAUAGUGCCUUCGCUUUUGUACACCCUAAGGCGGUGUACGAAUAAGAGCUGGGCAAGACCGGUGCCAGCCGCCGCGGUAAUACCGGCAGCUCGAGUGAUGACCGAUCUUAUUGGGCCUAAAGCGUUCGUAGCCGGCCGAGCAAGUUCGUCGGGAAAUCUACCAGCUCAACUGGUAGGCGUCCGGCGAAAACUGCCCGGCUUGGGACAGGGAGACUCGAAGGGUACGUCCGGGGUAGGAGUGAAAUCCUGUAAUCCUGGACGGACCACCGAUGGCGAAAGCACUUCGAGAGAACUGAUCCGACGGUCAGGAACGAAAGCUGGGGUCUCGAACCGGAUUAGAUACCCGGGUAGUCCCAGCUGUAAACGAUGUUCGCUAGGUGCGACGCAGACUACGAGUCUGUGUUGUGCCGUAGGGAAGCCGAGAAGCGAACCGCCUGGGAAGUACGUCCGCAAGGAUGAAACUUAAAGGAAUUGGCGGGGGAGCACUACAACCGGAGGAGCCUGCGGUUUAAUUGGACUCAACGCCGGACAUCUCACCAGCCCCGACUGUUCGAAUGACGCUCAGUGUGAUGAGCUUAGCAGACGAUCAGAGAGGAGGUGCAUGGCCGCCGUCAGCUCGUACCGUGAGGCGUCCUGUUAAGUCAGGCAACGAGCGAGACCCGCAUCCCUAAUUGCCAGCAAGACCCAC
RNAcentral lists this ribosomal RNA (1078 nucleotides) under uncultured archaeon. Its description in RNAcentral is "bacterial SSU rRNA". It matches the Rfam family "Archaeal small subunit ribosomal RNA", at positions 1 to 1080 of the family's 1478-position model. The record is from RNAcentral.